GCCUGUUCUUUAAUUAUUAUACCAGUGGGCCGAAGUCCUAACUUUUCCUUUAUUUAAAUUUAGCAAAAGAAGCUUAAAACUUCGUUACUAGACUUGUUUCCAAUUUCUAGCCGUGCGUAGGACUAGCAGACGCCGGGAGUACUGAUAUUAAAUUCCAGCAGUAAACUGGUUACAAUAUAAUCCCUAAGAAACUAAUCUUUAACAGAUAUAAAUAAUGGAGCCUUAAUAAAACUAUUAAUGUGAUGACUUAUUUCUUACUCUUAUAGAAUACUUAAGAGAUUUAAGAUAUAUAAUGACAACGACAAAAAUAUUUCCUACUGCGGUCACAUGACCUGUAAAAUGGCUCUUCACGGAGAAACAACAAAAAUGCUUUGGACCGAUAGUAAAACUUAAAUAUUUCCUUACUGAGACAUUUUCAGGACUUAUAAUGGGUUGAAAUAUAAUUUCAGGUAUAUGCAUAUUUGUGCCAGACACCUUACAAUCUAUGAAAAAUAUGUUAUCAAGUAAAACGAGUUUGGUAAACAAGUAGAAGGGGCACUUGCCAAACAAAAUGCCUAAAGUUAAAAAGUUGCAAAUAUAACAGUAUGUCCAAUUCAAAUAAAUGUUCAUCAAGUCAAUAAUAUUUCUGUUGUAGGCUAUCAUCCA
Molecule: long non-coding RNA, 645 nt
Filed under: Mytilus galloprovincialis (Mediterranean mussel)
Lineage: Eukaryota; Metazoa; Mollusca; Bivalvia; Mytilida; Mytilidae
Source: RNAcentral